CGCGACCCCCGAGGCGGCGGCGGCGGCGGCGGCCACUCACCAUAUUACAGAUGGAGGCGAUGUUUCGGACAGUCAUUAGUCUAAAGGUUACAGCGAUCCCGCACCGCCAUCUUUAUAAGGGAAUGCUGGAGGAGAAGGUGCAGGUGUAGGUGGCUGAGAAGAAGUGAACUUGGUUUCAGAGGCGUUGAGUUGGAGAUAACCAUGAAACACCUGAAAAGUUAUAUCAGGUACCACUGGGGCUCAGAAGAGACGUCUGGACUGGAGAUAAACCUAAAGGCCUGCGGCCCCACCCUCCGAUGAUUAUUAUUCCUUCUAUUUCAAGUCCACUCACUCCUCAAAACUCCGU
Long non-coding RNA from Mesoplodon densirostris (Blainville's beaked whale), 346 nucleotides. RefSeq lists it as uncharacterized. The record is from RefSeq and is a predicted model, not a curated record. Lineage: Eukaryota; Metazoa; Chordata; Mammalia; Artiodactyla; Ziphiidae. The transcript has 3 exons.